CAAUUUUAUGAACACAUCAGAUUAGCACAACACGUAUUUAUGUUCCUGAACUAGAGCCAAUGAUUCCUUUCUUCCUCACGUGGCUUGCGCGAUCCCUAAGUGGCAUCUCUCCGAUGACAAGAGGAUGUUCUUGCAGAAGCCAGGAAAGUCCUGGAGGAGCAAUGGACCUCGUUCCCCUUGGUGAGCACAAGCCAGUGAGGACCCGACUCUCCAGGCUCCACCACCUUCUCGGCUGCAGAAUACUGACCUCCUCAUAUGGAAAAAUGAGCUCUGGUGGCCACCUCUCUGCACACUUCCCUCUCCAUCCUCCCAGUGUUAUGAUUUGGGGUAAAUUGAUAUUCAUGUGUACAUGUUUAAAACUAUAGAAACAUUGUUCUCUGCUAAACCAAGUGGUAGCCUAUUUCCUUUCUACUGUAAUCCAUUGUUUUUC
Molecule: long non-coding RNA, 430 nt
Organism: Hippopotamus amphibius kiboko
Lineage: Eukaryota; Metazoa; Chordata; Mammalia; Artiodactyla; Hippopotamidae
Exons: 3
Source: RefSeq, a predicted model, not a curated record